RNAcentral lists this ribosomal RNA (253 nucleotides) under uncultured bacterium. RNAcentral describes it as "partial 16S ribosomal RNA". It matches the Rfam family "Bacterial small subunit ribosomal RNA", at positions 524 to 776 of the family's 1533-position model. The record is from RNAcentral.
UACAGAGGGUGCAAGCGUUGUUCGGAAUUAUUGGGCGUAAAGCGCGUGUAGGCGGCCGGGUCAGUCGGGUGUGAAAGCCCUCAGCUUAACUGAGGAAGUGCGCCCGAAACUGCCUGGCUUGAGUACCGGAGAGGGUGGCGGAAUUCCGCAAGUAGAGGUGAAAUUCGUAGAUAUGCGGAGGAACACCGGUGGCGAAGGCGGCCACCUGGACGGUCACUGACGCUGAGACGCGAAAGCGUGGGGAGCAAACAGG